AUUGAACGCUGGCGGCAUGCCUUACACAUGCAAGUCGAACGCGAAAGGGGGCAACCCUGAGUAGAGUGGCGCACGGGUGAGCAAUACAUCGGAACAUACCCAGUAGUGGGGGACAACCAGUCGAAAGACUGGCUAAUACCGCAUACGACCUACGGGUGAAAGCGGGGGACCGUAAGGCCUCGCGCUAUUGGAUUGGCCGAUGUCUGAUUAGCUAGUUGGUGAGGUAACGGCUCACCAAGGCGACGCUCAGUAGCUGGUCUGAGAGGAUGAUCAGCCACCCUGGGCAUGGGACACGGCCCAGAGUCCUACGUGAGGCAGCAGUGGGGAGUUUUGGCCAAUGGGGGCAACCCUGAUCCAGCAAUGCCGCGUGAGUGAAGAAGGCCUUCGGGUUGUAAAGCUCUUUCGGCCGGGACGAAAUCGCUCUGGUGAAUAUCCAGGGUGGAUGACGGUACCGUAAGAAUAAGCACCGGCUAACUACGUGCCAGCAGCCGCCGUAA
RNAcentral lists this ribosomal RNA (497 nucleotides) under uncultured bacterium. RNAcentral describes it as "partial 16S ribosomal RNA". It matches the Rfam family "Bacterial small subunit ribosomal RNA", at positions 30 to 523 of the family's 1533-position model. The record is from RNAcentral.